AGCGAACGUUAGCGGCGGGCCUAACACAUGCAAGUCGAGCGAGAAAGGGGGCUUCGGCCCCGAGUAAAGCGGCGGACGGGUGAGUAACACGUAGGUAAUCUUCCUUCGAGCGGGGGACAACGGUCCGAAAGGACCGCUAAUACCGCAUACGUUUCUCGGGACCUCGGUCCUGGGAAGGAAAGCUAGGUAGCAAUAUCCGGCACUCGAUGAGGAGCCUGCGUCGCAUCAGCUAGUUGGUGGGGUAAUGGCCCACCAAGGCGAAGACGCGUAGCUGGUCUGAGAGGAUGAUCAGCCACACUGGGACUGAGACACGGCCCAGACUCCUACGGGAGCAGCAGUGGGGAAUAUUGCGCAAUGGGCGAAAGCCUGACGCAGCGACGCCGCGUGGGGGAUGAAGGUCUUCGGAUUGUAAACCCC
Molecule: ribosomal RNA, 417 nt
Filed under: uncultured bacterium
Lineage: Bacteria
Description: bacterial SSU rRNA
Rfam family: Bacterial small subunit ribosomal RNA
Source: RNAcentral